AUUACACAAAUAUGAAGGCGGGCUGGAACCUCUCGGGGGUUACAGCCUUGCUGANNUAUUCACCCUUGUCUUUUGCGUACUUCUUGUUUCCUUGGUGGGUUCGCCCACCACUAGGACAAACAUAAACCUUUUGUAAUUGCAAUCAGCGUCAGUAACAAAUUAAUAAUUACAACUUUCAACAACGGAUCUCUUGGUUCUGGCAUCGAUGAAGAACGCAGCGAAAUGCGAUAAGUAGUGUGAAUUGCAGAAUUCAGUGAAUCAUCGAAUCUUUGAACGCACAUUGCGCCCUUUGGUAUUCCAAAGGGCAUGCCUGUUCGAGCGUCAUUUGUACCCUCAAGCUUUGCUUGGUGUUGGGCGUCUUGUCUCUAGCUUUGCUGGAGACUCGCCUUAAAGUAAUUGGCAGCCGGCCUACUGGUUUCGGAGCGCAGCACAAGUCGCACUCUCUAUCAGCAAAGGUCUAGCAUCCAUUAAGCCUUUUUUCAACUUUUGACCUCGGAUCAGGUAGGGAUACCCGCUGAACUUAAGCAUAUCAAUAAGCGGAGGAAAAGAAACCAACAGGGAUUGCCCUAGUAACGGCGAGUGAAGCGGCAACAGCUCAAAUUUGAAAUCUGGCUCUUUUAGAGUCCGAGUUGUAAUUUGCAGAGGGCGCUUUGGCUUUGGCAGCGGUCCAAGUUCCUUGGAACAGGACGUCACAGAGGGUGAGAAUCCCGUACGUGGUCGCUGGCUAUUGCCGUGUAAAGCCCCUUCGACGAGUCGAGUUGUUUGGGAAUGCAGCUCUAAAUGGGAGGUACAUUUCUUCUAAAGCUAAAUAUUGGCCAGAGACCGAUAGCGCACAAGUAGAGUGAUCGAAAGAUGAAAAGCACUUUGGAAAGAGAGUCAAACAGCACGUGAAAUUGUUGAAAGGGAAGCGCUUGCAGCCAGACUUGCUUACAGUUGCUCAUCCGGGUUUUUACCCGGUGCACUCUUCUGUAGGCAGGCCAGCAUCAGUUUGGGCGGUAGGAUAAAGGUCUCUGUCA
This 1016-nucleotide ribosomal RNA is filed under the name fungal sp. AM0193. RNAcentral describes it as "eukaryotic LSU rRNA". The stretch from base 488 to 1016 matches the Rfam family "Eukaryotic large subunit ribosomal RNA", at positions 1 to 534 of the family's 3401-position model. The record is from RNAcentral. Lineage: Eukaryota; Fungi.